Molecule: long non-coding RNA, 3350 nt
Organism: Myotis myotis
Lineage: Eukaryota; Metazoa; Chordata; Mammalia; Chiroptera; Vespertilionidae
Exons: 2
Source: RefSeq, a predicted model, not a curated record
AAUGAAGUUUGUGUUUGUUAUAACUGAUUUAGGUCACAUUUUGCCCCCUGUAUUCUAAACAGGCUGGGUUUUAGAGUCAGACAGACCUGGGUUCUGCCCCAGAGCCACUCCUUAAGGCUGGCUGACAUGGAGCAGAUUUCUUAACCUUCUCAAACAUAAGUCAGAAGGCGUGUGAGAGGCUCCUAAAUCCAAGCCUUAGGUGGGCUGUCCAUUGUCUCUAAAGAUACUCAGAGCAUGUGUCUUUAGAGCUCUUCGAAGAGCUGCUCCACCUUCACAGGGUUUUGUGAGGGUCAGAUGAGGACAACUCGAAGGUUCUUGGCUUAUAGUGCGCCGUAGAGGUUAGUGAUCUACCUCCCCACCCCAGUCUGUUGUGUCUGUGAGGAAGGAAAACCUGGCACGAUUCUGAUUUCAAAUAUUCUGCCCUUUUGUCAGAUCACUGUAUGACUUCCUGAUCAUAUGUGAUCAUUAGUAUUUGGUUUAGAAACCACAGCUGCUAUUGAUGCUUUGACUUCUAAAAAAGAUUUAGGGACAUUCUCUCUAAGAGACACAAAAUAGAACUAUUGAAAUAAAGACAAAACUGGAGGCAUGCUACUUUGGGGUAGAGAUCAUUGUACCAGAGUAUUUAGAUUAAUAAAUUGUUGCUGUGUCCACCCGGUGUGGGUCAGUGGUUGAACAUUGACCUAUGAACCAGGAGGUCAUGGCUCUCUUCCCAGUCAGGGCACAUGCCUGCGCGGCAGGAUCAGUCCCCAGUGUGGGGUGUUCAGGAGGCAGUGAUCGAUGAUUCCCAUCAUUGAUGUUUCUCUCUCCCUCCCUCUUCCUUCCUCUCUGAAAUCAAUAAAAAUAUUUAAAAAGAAAGUUAAUGUAAUUGAGUGCACUUAGCUGUGAAAUUCAUGGAAGCCAUGGGAAAAGGGGAAACGGGCGCCGAUGUGUGUGUUUCUCGUUCUAGAGUAAAACAGACAUGCCUUUGUAAAGCUCCAGAGACACCUUUUCCCGUAUCUUUAGAGACACUGGACAGCUUACCUUACAAGGGCUUACGUGAGCUUGGAGUUGGAAGCCUCUUGCACACCUGCUCCAUCCUCUCCCCCUUGUGAUAUAUUUGCCCUAAGUCCCUUCCUUCAAGGCUCCCUGCACCCUUAAGCCUUCUCUUGGGUCUGCCCUCCACUCUGGCCUCUUUGAGGAACUGUGUCUACCGCUCUGAUCUCUUCUCUGUUCUCUCUGGGAAUCCUUAAGUAAGAAAAGAUCUAAUGGACUAACUCAUGCGUUGACCAAAGUCCACCUCCUUUUCCUCUCACCUUGCUAACUUCUUAGCCUUCAAAUCUCAGUUAAAUGCCACCUCCUCAGGGAAGCAGUGUGUGGCCCCUAGGCUGCCUGAGGGCCUUUCCCUGUUAUUUGUCGCUAUGGCAUCUCACAUUUCUUCUUCUGUAGUUGUAUUUGUAAUUACACUUUCUCUCCUGUAUUUCAUAAAGGAUUAGGCCAUAUCGAUCUCUGUUGGAUCCCUAGAGCUUAGCACUGUGCCUGGCACUUGCUAGAUGCUUAGUAAAUAUUGACACUGGCGCCGUAAAAUGGACUGUAAAUCAUGCCAUUCUUUCCGCUUGGCAUGGGUCCUUCCAGGUGCAACAUUCCGGGCAGCCACCCCAAGCAGUUGAAGCUGGCAUCCAAGAUGAAAGCUGUUUCAUUACCUGCUUAAUGGAUUAAUGCACUGCCGGGGGGACUGGGCUUUUGUCUGUGUUUCCAUACCGCUGCCCUGAGGCGUGAUUUGGAGGGUGUUUUUCUGUUAUUUCUUUGUCAGGACAUUAUCUACUAUAACUCUCAGUGUCCCAGGUGUUUCUCAGACUUUAGUGUGCCUAAGAAUCACUGUGUGUAUGUCCUUCCAAAAUGCAGAUCCCAGGCCCCAUUGCCAGAGGUGGAGGAAGCUUUUUAAAAGCUUUUGUUCUCUUUUUAAUAAUAGACUUUAUGUUUUAGACCAAUUUUAGAUUUACAGAAAAAUUGAGCAGAUACUACAGAGAGUUUCCAUACUCUGUCCCAAAUAUACAGUUUCCCCUGUGAACAUCUUACAUAGGAACAUUUUUUAUACUUAGUGAACUAAUAUUGAUACAUUAUUAUUAAUCAAAGUCCAUCCUUCACUCAAGUUUCCUCAUUUCCUUUUUCUGUCCCAGGGUCCCAUCUAGGACAGCACAUGACAGGUAGUUGUUAUACCUCCUUAGGCUCCUCUUGGCUGUGGUCCUUUUCCAGACUUUCCUUGAGUUUGGUAGCCUCAACAAUUCGGAGGAGUGCUGGGUAGGCAUAUUGUGGGGAGCCCCUCAUUAGAAUUUCUCUUGUGCCUUUCUCAUGAUUAGACUGGGGUGAUACGUUUUAGGUAGGAAGACACAGUGAUGAAGUCCCAUGCAUCACAUAUAGAGAGGGAGAUACUAUCGCAGGACUUAUGACUGUUGAGGUGUCAUCACUAUAUAAAGUCACUCAUUUAUCCCCCCUUUCAUAUUGUCCUCUUCCCAGGAAAGUCUCUACUCACAGCCCACUCUCAGGGAGUAGGGGAGCAUGCUAAUCUGAGGAAUGCUUUCUAAAUUUUAAUAGCAAAGUCUUUAUUUUUCUGUGUAUUAGAAACAGUGUGUUAACUCCACUAAUUUUAACUGGAUUCUCCAGAAAGCUGUACCCAAGACGAAGGCUCCUGGGAGAGGAGUUUUAGAAGGCAUGUGACCUCUGGGAGCAGGAAUGGGGAGAGGGGAGUGAAGUGGAGGAGGAAGAGCCGGUACAGGUGACCAUUAUGGAAAGCACAUUCUAACCUGGCUGGGAGUUGCACCUGGGACCUGGGAGCUCACUGGAAAUUCGGCCGAUUCUCAUGGAAAGAUUAACUCAACCUUGUUGGAAAAACCAAAGCUGCCAGCCCUUUGAAGACAUCCUCCCGCCCCCACCUCCUGCCUUUGCAUACCCACAGACCUUUGCAAAUCUCCAGCCUGCAUUAUCUGUUAACUGCCCAUUUGGUAUAACCUUUAGCCUACUUCCCCACGUAAUCUUUGUUCUUCUGCCCAAUAAAAGCAGCUGGUUUAUGGGGAGAGGCAGAGCAGAUGUUUGUGGAUGACCUGCUGCUCCCAUACUGCCUGCAGUAUUGGAAUAAAUGCUCAUAUAGGAUUCAACCCUGUCUCUGCUUAACUGACUCAAGUAGUGACAGACAGCAUGGACCCAUUGAUCAUUACUCACUGCUUCUUGCUGGAAAGUUUUCUAUGCUUCUAGGUUGAAUUCACUUGUGUUUUUUCUGGUACUUGCUUACAUAGUGGGGUGUUUGUUUGUUUGUUUGUUUGUUUGUUUUCCUGAUCCUUGUGGAAUAAAAUAUAUGGCUUGAAAGCUGGACCCAA